RNAcentral lists this ribosomal RNA (983 nucleotides) under Microbacterium sp. RNAcentral's name for it is "bacterial SSU rRNA". It matches the Rfam family "Bacterial small subunit ribosomal RNA", at positions 528 to 1504 of the family's 1533-position model. Lineage: Bacteria; Bacillati; Actinomycetota; Actinomycetes; Micrococcales; Microbacteriaceae. The record is from RNAcentral.
CUAAGCGCGUGCUUUGUAUCGGAUAUUGGGCGUAAGAGCUCGUAGGCGGUUUGUCGCGUCUGCUGUGAAAUCCGGAGGCUCAACCUCCGGCCUGCAGUGGGUACGGGCAGACUAGAGUGCGGUAGGGGAGAUUGGAAUUCCUGGUGUAGCGGUGGAAUGCGCAGAUAUCAGGAGGAACACCGAUGGCGAAGGCAGAUCUCUGGGCCGUAACUGACGCUGAGGAGCGAAAGGGUGGGGAGCAAACAGGCUUAGAUACCCUGGUAGUCCACCCCGUAAACGUUGGGAACUAGUUGUGGGGUCCAUUCCACGGAUUCCGUGACGCAGCUAACGCAUUAAGUUCCCCGCCUGGGGAGUACGGCCGCAAGGCUAAAACUCAAAGGAAUUGACGGGGACCCGCACAAGCGGCGGAGCAUGCGGAUUAAUUCGAUGCAACGCGAAGAACCUUACCAAGGCUUGACAUAUACGAGAACGGGCCAGAAAUGGUCAACUCUUUGGACACUCGUAAACAGGUGGUGCAUGGUUGUCGUCAGCUCGUGUCGUGAGAUGUUGGGUUAAGUCCCGCAACGAGCGCAACCCUCGUUCUAUGUUGCCAGCACGUAAUGGUGGGAACUCAUGGGAUACUGCCGGGGUCAACUCGGAGGAAGGUGGGGAUGACGUCAAAUCAUCAUGCCCCUUAUGUCUUGGGCUUCACGCAUGCUACAAUGGCCGGUACAAAGGGCUGCAAUACCGCGAGGUGGAGCGAAUCCCAAAAAGCCGGUCCCAGUUCGGAUUGAGGUCUGCAACUCGACCUCAUGAAGUCGGAGUCGCUAGUAAUCGCAGAUCAGCAACGCUGCGGUGAAUACGUUCCCGGGUCUUGUACACACCGCCCGUCAAGUCAUGAAAGUCGGUAACACCUGAAGCCGGUGGCCUAACUCCUUGUGGAAGGGAGCCGUCGAAAGUUGGGAUCGGUAAUUAGGACUAAGUUCGUAACAAAGGUCAGCCAA